Molecule: long non-coding RNA, 1137 nt
Filed under: Calidris pugnax (ruff)
Lineage: Eukaryota; Metazoa; Chordata; Aves; Charadriiformes; Scolopacidae
Description: lncRNA (ENSCPUG00000011003.1)
Source: RNAcentral
AUGAACUUGACCCCUCUUCAAACCAGGAGAGGGGACCCCGCAUGGGGCUGGGUGUCCCCCCUGAGGAAGGCAGCCCCCCAAGGAGCACCCUGGCAGCACCCCGAGGUGCUCCCCCCCAGCACCACAAGUGGGGCAGAGCCGGCAGCCUGUCCUCGCCCACCCAGGCACCCUGGAUCGUGUGUGUGGGCCCCGGUGUUUCUACAAGGGGCUGAAUCCGGGUGUGGUUUUGUGCCACGACACCAGAAUGGGUCCCUCCGGGGCUCUGCAGGGCGAGGGGCACCUCCAGCCCCACCGACUCUGGGGUGGGAUGUUGCAGUCUCCAUCAUUUCUGCAUCCCACCCUCAUCCCUGGCUGGCAGAGAAGGGGGUUCUCCAGAGACCCUCCGUGGGCAGGGGGUGCUGGGCCUCUCCUGCUGCUGCCAGGGCUGAGGGGUUGGUGCUUCUGUGGUGUCCCCAGUCUGUGUUGUCCCCGGUCUGCGUUGUGCCCCAUCUGUGGUGUCCCCCGUCUGCCACCGCCUUUACCAUCAAAGGACCCCCCGAAGAGGGGGGCCGUGCUGCAGCCCCUCCCCAGCCCGGGCCCUUGUCCUCAUCAGCCUCUGUCCUGCGGGCUGGGGCUGCAGGAGCCACGUGUGGCCCCGGAGCAUCUCGGGGAGCUCGGAGCGUCCUCUCCCGCGCCCUGCGGUCCGGGCGAGCGUGGGCUGGGCUGGGGGCGCCCUCUGGUGGCGACCUGCGGGGCUGGAGCCUGGCCGUGCCACGGAGCGCGGGUUGUGCCCCCCAGCCCGGCUCUGCCUGUCGGUCCGGCUGUGCUGAGCCCCCACACCAGCGUCACCCGGCCCAGAGAAGGGCGACGGAGCUGGUGAGGGGUCUGGAGCACAAGUCUUGUGAGGAGAGGCUGAGGGAGCUGGGGUUAUUCAGCCUGGAGAAGAGGAGGCUGAGGGGAGACCUUCUUGCUCUCUCCAACUCCCUGAAAGGAGGGUGUAGAGAGGUGGGGGUCGGUCUCUUCUCUCAAGUCACAGGCGACAGGACAAGAGGAAAUGGCCUCAAGUUGCGCCAGGGGAGGUUCAGGCUGGAUAUUAGGAAAUUUUUUCACCGAAAGGGUUCUCAGCCAUUGGAAUGGGCUGCCCAGGGAGGGGGUUGA